This 357-nucleotide ribosomal RNA is filed under the name Triticum aestivum (bread wheat). RNAcentral's name for it is "partial small subunit ribosomal RNA". The record is from RNAcentral. Lineage: Eukaryota; Viridiplantae; Streptophyta; Magnoliopsida; Poales; Poaceae.
AUGAUCAAGCCCGCAUAUGACCUCCUGGUGCACGCCGUGGAAGAGCGUGUCAGGAGGCUAGGGCUGCCAAAAGUGGAGCGCGACCAGUACCCCGUCUGCUUCCGCGGCGCAACUCGAGCCGCCUUCGAGCACCUGCCGACGGUGACGCUGCACUUGGACAAUGACCUAGUGCUCCGGCCACAGCAGCUCUUCGUCCUCGUCCACCAAGACGCCUGCCUUACCGUGAUGCCGAGCGAGCACAUCACCAUCAUCGGCGCGAUGCAGCAGGUGAACACGCGCUUCGUCUACGACGUCGCAGCGGGCAGGAUCCACUUUGCUCAUGAGGACUGCCAUGGCGACAUGGGAGGCCAGAAUUGA